CUCCUUAAUUUACUACUACAAUCAUCAAAAUCUUAUUUAGCAUUUUCACAAUAUGGCUUCAAAGAACAUGACAACAAUCAUGGCUCUCUUCCUCACCUUCAAUCUCGUCUUCUUGGGCUUCACCUCAGCCCAAACCUUUGUGUCCUCUUAACCAGUCUGACUUGGGGAUUUGCGUCAACGUACUUGGUCUCAUCAACCUCACCACCAGCAACGUGGCCCAAUGUUGUUCUAUUUUAUCUGGUCUUAAUGCUCCUCUUGUGUCUGUAUGUGCAUGCGAGGCCCUAAGACUCAAUAUACUUAACCUUCUCGGCAUCACCAUCAACCUCAAUUUGAGGCUUAAUGGGCUUCUUGGUCUCUGCCGUUUGCCGAUACAACCUGGUUACAACUGCCUUGCAUAAGUAAACAACAUACAGGGUCUUAUAUGUAUUAGGAUCAUUAAAAUAAGCAUACAAUUAGUUCCGUAAUAUCGGUUCAUGGUGCAACUAUGUGUUUUUUUAAAGUAAGUAAUUAUGUCUUUAUCUUAUGUUUGAAAUAAAAUGAAACCUGGAUGGUGUUUCACAUGUUUGGCUGUUCCA
RNA transcript from Arabidopsis lyrata subsp. lyrata, 575 nucleotides. It is a transcript of the gene named putative lipid-binding protein AIR1, with no coding region annotated. The transcript has a single exon. NCBI's taxonomy places the organism in Eukaryota, Viridiplantae, Streptophyta, Magnoliopsida, Brassicales, Brassicaceae. The record is from RefSeq and is a predicted model, not a curated record.